AGAGUUUGAUCAUGGCUCAGGACGAACGCUGGCGGCGCGCUUAACACAUGCAAGUCGAGCGAGAACCCUCCUUCGGGAGGGGGAAAGCGGCGAACGGGUGAGUAACACGUGGGUAAUCCACCCUCGGCACCGGGAUAGCCCGGGGAAACCCGGAUUAAUACCGGACGGCCCAAUCUCCCUGCGGGGAUGAUUGGGAAAGGUAGCUUCGGCCUCCGGCCGAGGACGAGCCCGCGGCGGAUUAGCUUGUUGGUGGGGUAACGGCCUACCAAGGCGACGAUCCGUAGCUGGUCUGAGAGGACGAUCAGCCACACUGGGACUGAGACACGGCCCAGACUCCUACGGGAGGCAGCAGUGGGGAAUCUUGCGCAAUGGGCGAAAGCCUGACGCAGCGACGCCGCGUGAGGGAAGAAGGCUUUCGGGUUGUAAACCUCUUUCAGAAGGGACGAAGCUCCUCGGGUUAAUAGCCCAGAGGGUGACGGUACCUUCAGAAGAAGCCCCGGCUAACUACGUGCUAGCAGCCGCGGUAAUAC
Molecule: ribosomal RNA, 530 nt
Filed under: uncultured bacterium
Lineage: Bacteria
Description: bacterial SSU rRNA
Rfam family: Bacterial small subunit ribosomal RNA
Source: RNAcentral